This 330-nucleotide ribosomal RNA is filed under the name Triticum aestivum (bread wheat). Its description in RNAcentral is "partial small subunit ribosomal RNA". The record is from RNAcentral. Lineage: Eukaryota; Viridiplantae; Streptophyta; Magnoliopsida; Poales; Poaceae.
AUGUCGCUACCGUGGAGCGUCGUGCAUCUCCCCAACUACUGGCACCUCUUGGCGGACCACGUGCCAAUCACUCCGAUCUCGGUCGGCGAUCUAGCUCGCUGUGAGGCGACCCAGCGCCGCCGCGCUCGCCUGGCCCCCGACCUCCUCGCCGACGCCAGUUACACUGUGGACUCUCCGAUGUGGGAUACGUGGUUCCGCGACGAGCACGACGUGGGUCGACAAUCCUACUUCACCGGUUGUGCUCCGAGCAAGCCACGGGUGUGCUCUGGCAGUUGCACACACGCUCUCAGCCCGCCCGACCGCGCGGUCGUGCGCGGGUCCGCGGGCUAA